CUCAACCUAUGGGCUUGACGGAAAAUUCAAAUCGCGAACCGUUACUGCCUGGACUACUCCGUCUCUUAUUUGUUUGUUUGCUCAUUAACAGUAAGAGGUCAUGUACACUGUGGUCAACUUUGUGGACGAUGAAGAGGUUUCUGGGUAAAGAUGAUAGAAAUAUAAUGAAGUAACAGUGAGAGCUAAAACAUCAGACUGAUCCAGACACUGAAGAAAUUGAUGUCACUGCAAUCUGGCCAAAAUGAUACAACUAUAUUGAAGUAGCCUACUGUAAUGAAGCUGCAGAACAACACAGAGACUCUUGAGGACAUCAACACAGAAAAUGAAGGCUCCAAAGAGAUGUCUGUCCAGAUGAGGGUGCAUCAAUGUUACGUUUGCUGACAAGUAUAUGCUUUACAAUGUAAAACCUAACAGUUAACUUAACUCAAACCAUUUAAGGAAAUCGGUUGCCUUAACCCAUUAAGUUUUAAAAAACAUACAUUUGAGUACUGUGAACUUAAGUCUUGUGCAAUUAUGCACUUAUAUUUAGUUAGUGUGAACUUAAAUAUAAGUGCAUAACUGCAUGUGACUCAAUUUGUUUAAGUUCACAGUACUCAAAUCCAUGUGUUUUAAAACUUAAAUGGUUUAAUGCAACCGGUUUUCUUAAAUGGUUUGAGUUUAGUUAACUUUUAGGUUUUACAGUGAGAAAUUCUUGAAUAGUUUCAAGACAGAGCUCUGCAAUUGAAUCAACAUUGCAAAAAAUCAGUUUCUAACUUAGGAUUUUUAUCUUGUUUUUAGUAGAAAAACUAAAAAUUCUUAAAUCAAGAUGUAUUUUCUUGAUGAGCAAAAUUACCUAAGAAAAUGUCUAGUUUUUAGACAAAAAUAUACAAUUUAAGUAAAUUUGUGCCUGAACAAGCAAAAAUAUAUAACAAUGGGGUGAGAAAAUUGUGCUUGAAUUAAGUUUUUAAGAAAAAAGAAAACUUAAGAUUUUUUCUCACACCAUUGGCAGAUAUUUUUGCUUGUUUUAAGCACAAAUUCACUUAAAUUGUGUGCAUUUAUUUAUUUUGUCUAAAACUAGACUUAUUUUAUUAAGUCAUUUUGUUCAUCAAGAAAAAGCAUUUUAUUUAAAUAAUAUUUCUACUGAAAACGAGACAAAAAUACUAUGUAAGAAAGUCAUUUUUUUGCAGUGUAGGACUGAUUUCUUAAAGCAAGAUCAAUAUAGUUGUUGUUCAUUUUAUUUAGAUAUUUACUACAUUACAGUGGCAGCUGGUGACUUCUUUUUUUUGUGAGCACUCGAAGCAAAGUCUGUCACAACAUGUAUAUAGCCAGUCAUUUGUGUGGUUCCCAAUUUCAAAAUAUGUGUUCUGCGUGUAUGUGCAUCACGUGUUUUGACUAAACACGUGUUGCACAUGGUUUACAUGAAUCAACAAACACAUUUUAAAAACACAAGCAACACACAUGACACUCCGAACACUUAUUUUGAAUUUGCACCCCUCGGAUGAGCAGUCACGAGCCGCCACUGCUACUUUACAUUGUACUGCUUUGAAUGUAGUUUUCAUUGUCGCUUUUAUUUUGUUUUAUUUUACUCUAAUAUUGCUUUCUCUGUCUGUAUAUUUAUGAGUUUAAAUAGUAUUGUUUAUGUAUGCAACUUUUAAUAUUUGUGUAUAAUAUUAUUUUGUGAUUGUGACAAUUGUGAAUUGUUCAGUUUUUUA
Molecule: non-coding RNA, 1691 nt
Organism: Paramisgurnus dabryanus
Lineage: Eukaryota; Metazoa; Chordata; Actinopteri; Cypriniformes; Cobitidae
Source: RefSeq, a predicted model, not a curated record